Molecule: non-coding RNA, 167 nt
Filed under: Rhodospirillales bacterium RIFCSPLOWO2_01_FULL_65_14
Lineage: Bacteria; Pseudomonadati; Pseudomonadota; Alphaproteobacteria; Rhodospirillales
Description: partial RNase P RNA component class A
Rfam family: Bacterial RNase P class A
About the family: Ribonuclease P (RNase P) is a ubiquitous endoribonuclease, found in archaea, bacteria and eukarya as well as chloroplasts and mitochondria. Its best characterised activity is the generation of mature 5'-ends of tRNAs by cleaving the 5'-leader elements of precursor-tRNAs. Cellular RNase Ps are ribonucleoproteins.
Source: RNAcentral
GGAGCAAGACCAAAUAGGGGCGGCACGCCGGAGCUUGCUCCGGCAGGCGCGUUUCCGCGCCGUCGCCCGGGUAGGUCGCGCGAGGCGUCCGGCAACGGACGUCCCAGAUGAAUGGUCGUCGCCCGCCUCGGCGGGUACAGAACCCGGCUUACAGGCCGUCUGGCAUU